CCUACGGGUGGCAGCAGUGAGGAAUAUUGGUCAAUGGGCUUACGCCUGAACCAGCCAAGUCGCGUGAGGGAAGACUGCCCUAUGGGUUGUAAACCUCUUUUGUCAGGGAGCAAGUGGCGCUACGUGUAGCGUUAUCGAGAGGACCUGAAGAAAAAGCAGCGGCUAACUCCGUGCCAGCAGCCGCGGUAAUACGGAGGAUGCGAGCGUUAUCCGGAUUGAUUGGGUUGAAAGGGUGCGUAGGCGGAAUGCCACGUCAGCGGGAAAAUCGAGGGGCGCAACCUCGCUCCGCCGUUGACACUGGCGUUCUUGAGUGGGCGAGAAGUAUGCGGAAUGCGUGGUGUAGCGGU
Molecule: ribosomal RNA, 347 nt
Filed under: uncultured bacterium
Lineage: Bacteria
Description: partial 16S ribosomal RNA
Rfam family: Bacterial small subunit ribosomal RNA
Source: RNAcentral